RNAcentral lists this small RNA (65 nucleotides) under Streptococcus pantholopis. RNAcentral describes it as "Streptococcus sRNA Spd-sr37". It matches the Rfam family "Streptococcus sRNA Spd-sr37". The record is from Rfam by way of RNAcentral. Lineage: Bacteria; Bacillati; Bacillota; Bacilli; Lactobacillales; Streptococcaceae.
CAAUAAUCAUGAUGGUCAAAGCUCAUGAGGGUUGUGCGUUUUUGACGUACAAUUUUCUAGAGAUU